UUAAUUGAAGAGUUUGAUCAUGGCUCAGAUUGAACGCUGGCGGCAGGCCUAACACAUGCAAGUCGAGCGGUAGCACAGAGGAGCUUGCUCCUGGGCUGACGAGCGGCGGACGGGUGAGUAAUGUCUGGGAAACUGCCCGAUGGAGGGGGAUAACUACUGGAAACGGUAGCUAAUACCGCAUAACGUCUUCGGACCAAAGUGGGGGACCUUCGGGCCUCACACCAUCGGAUGUGCCCAGAUGGGAUUAGCUAGUAGGUG
Molecule: ribosomal RNA, 258 nt
Filed under: Cronobacter sakazakii
Lineage: Bacteria; Pseudomonadati; Pseudomonadota; Gammaproteobacteria; Enterobacterales; Enterobacteriaceae
Description: partial 16S ribosomal RNA
Rfam family: Bacterial small subunit ribosomal RNA
Source: RNAcentral